UCUGACGACCAUAGCGUCUUGGAUCCACCCCUUCCCAUCCCGAACAGGACCGUGAAACAAGACCGCGCCGAUGAUAGUGCAGUCCCCUGUGCGAAAGUAGGUCAUCGUCAGAC
This 113-nucleotide ribosomal RNA is filed under the name Rhodocyclaceae bacterium. The record is from RNAcentral. Lineage: Bacteria; Pseudomonadati; Pseudomonadota; Betaproteobacteria; Rhodocyclales; Rhodocyclaceae.